GGAUCUCCAAUGAAGAAGUGCUUUAUAUACAAUACAAGCAGCUGCUGGUCUGUUUUUCUCAAAUCGCUUAUCUUCAGCGAGACACUUGAGCAGUGCAUCAUGACUUUCCUGUUUAUAAGAGAUGGAAACUCAACUUCAGGUUCUGGUUCAUUUUUUUCUGGAUGAACUUUCUGCUCUAAAGCAGCUGCUGAAUGGUCUGUUUCUAUUUUCUCUGGAUGGACUUUCUGCUCUAAAGCAGCUGCUGCUGCUGCCUGGCUCCGUAGGGAUUCAUUCUCUGAUUCUAGAUUUGCUAUCUGACCCUUGAGGCUAGACAGACAACAUGGAUUAACCAUUUCACUGAAAUCAUUUUGGCAUUUAUCAUGGAGAAUUAAUCGAGAAUCUAUACCCUCAUG
Molecule: long non-coding RNA, 392 nt
Organism: Vigna radiata var. radiata (mung bean)
Lineage: Eukaryota; Viridiplantae; Streptophyta; Magnoliopsida; Fabales; Fabaceae
Exons: 3
Source: RefSeq, a predicted model, not a curated record